UACGGGGGGGGCAAGCGUUGUUCGGAAUUACUGGGCGUAAAGGGCUCGUAGGCGGCCAACUAAGUCAGACGUGAAAUCCCUCGGCUUAACCGGGGAACUGCGUCUGAUACUGGAUGGCUUGAGUUUGGGAGAGGGAUGCGGAAUUCCAGGUGUAGCGGUGAAAUGCGUAGAUAUCUGGAGGAACACCGGUGGCGAAGGCAGCUCGCUGGGACGUCACUGACACUGAGGCGCGAAAGCCAGGGGAGCAAACGGG
RNAcentral lists this ribosomal RNA (253 nucleotides) under uncultured bacterium. RNAcentral's name for it is "partial 16S ribosomal RNA". It matches the Rfam family "Bacterial small subunit ribosomal RNA", at positions 524 to 776 of the family's 1533-position model. The record is from RNAcentral.